UACGGAGGGUGCAAGCGUUGUCCGGAUUUAUUGGGUUUAAAGGGUGCGUAGGCGGCCUGUUAAGUCCGGGGUGAAAGCCCGUUGCUCAACAACGGAACUGCCCUGGAUACUGGCGGGCUUGAGUACAGGCGAGGUUGUCGGAAUGGACCGAGUAGCGGUGAAAUGCAUAGAUACGGUCCAGAACCCCGAUUGCGAAGGCAGCUGACUAGGCUGUUACUGACGCUGAGGCACGACAGCGUGGGGAGCGAACAGG
Molecule: ribosomal RNA, 253 nt
Filed under: uncultured bacterium
Lineage: Bacteria
Description: partial 16S ribosomal RNA
Rfam family: Bacterial small subunit ribosomal RNA
Source: RNAcentral